UACAGAGGCCCCAAGCAUUACCCGGAAUCACUGGGCGUAAAGGGUGUGUAGGUGGUCAUGUUAGUCGAGUGUUAAAUCUCAGGGCUUAACCCUGAAAUCGCGCUCGAAACGGCAUGACUUGAGAGCGUAAGGGGUGAAUGGAACUCAUGGUGUAGGGGUGAAAUCCGUUGAUAUCAUGGGGAACACCGAAAGCGAAAGCAAUUCACUGGUACGUUUCUGACACUGAAACACGAAAGCGUGGGUAGCGAACGGG
RNAcentral lists this unclassified non-coding RNA (253 nucleotides) under uncultured Parcubacteria group bacterium. Its description in RNAcentral is "contains 16S-23S intergenic spacer region". It matches the Rfam family "Bacterial small subunit ribosomal RNA", at positions 524 to 776 of the family's 1533-position model. The record is from RNAcentral.